CAUAUCAAUAAGCGGAGGAAAAGAAACUAACAAGGAUUCCCCUAGUAACUGCGAGUGAAGCGGGAAAAGCUCAAAUUUAAAAUCUGGUGGUCUCUGGCCAUCCGAGUUGUAAUCUAGAGAAGUGUUACCCGCGUCGGACCGUGUAUAAGUCUCCUGGAAUGGAGCGUCAUAGAGGGUGAGAAUCCCGUCUUUGACACGGACUACCGAGGCUUUGUGGUAUGCUCUCAAAGAGUCGAGUUGUUUGGGAAUGCAGCUCAAAAUGGGUGGUAAAUUCCAUCUAAAGCUAAAUAUUGGCGAGAGACCGAUAGCGAACAAGUACCGUGAGGGAAAGAUGAAAAGAACUUUGGAAAGAGAGUUAAACAGUACGUGAAAUUGCUGAAAGGGAAACGCUUGAAGUCAGUCGCGUUGGCCGGGAAUCAGCCUUGCUUUUGCUUGGUGUACUUUCUGGGUUGACGGGCCAGCAUCAGUUUUGACCGGUGGAAAAAGUUCAGGGGAAUGUGGCAUCUUCGGGUGUGUUAUAGCCCUUGUUCGUAUACAUCGGUUGGGACUGAGGAACUCAGCACGCCGCAAGGCCGG
RNAcentral lists this ribosomal RNA (576 nucleotides) under Agaricales sp. RNAcentral describes it as "eukaryotic LSU rRNA". It matches the Rfam family "Eukaryotic large subunit ribosomal RNA", at positions 39 to 614 of the family's 3401-position model. The record is from RNAcentral. Lineage: Eukaryota; Fungi; Basidiomycota; Agaricomycetes; Agaricales.